GGGUCAUUAGCUCAGCUGGCAGAGCAGUGGACUUUUAAUCCAUUGGUCGCAGGUUCGAAUCCUGCAUGACCCA
RNAcentral lists this transfer RNA (73 nucleotides) under Chloroflexota bacterium. Its description in RNAcentral is "tRNA-Lys". It matches the Rfam family "tRNA". Rfam says of the family: Transfer RNA (tRNA) molecules are approximately 80 nucleotides in length. Their secondary structure includes four short double-helical elements and three loops (D, anti-codon, and T loops). Further hydrogen bonds mediate the characteristic L-shaped molecular structure. tRNAs have two regions of fundamental functional importance: the anti-codon, which is responsible for specific mRNA codon recognition, and the 3' end, to which the tRNAs corresponding amino acid is attached (by aminoacyl-tRNA synthetases). tRNAs cope with the degeneracy of the genetic code in two manners: having more than one tRNA (with a specific anti-codon) for a particular amino acid; and 'wobble' base-pairing, i.e. permitting non-standard base-pairing at the 3rd anti-codon position. The record is from RNAcentral. RNAcentral also lists the same sequence under 4 other names. Lineage: Bacteria; Bacillati; Chloroflexota.